GAUGAACGCUGGCGGCGUGCCUAAUACAUGCAAGUCGAGCGAACGGACGAGAAGCUUGCUUCUCUGAUGUUAGCGGCGGACGGGUGAGUAACACGUGGAUAACCUACCUAUAAGACUGGGAUAACUUCGGGAAACCGGAGCUAAUACCGGAUAAUAUUUUGAACCGCAUGGUUCAAAAGUGAAAGACGGUCUUGCUGUCACUUAUAGAUGGAUCCGCGCUGCAUUAGCUAGUUGGUAAGGUAACGGCUUACCAAGGCAACGAUGCAUAGCCGACCUGAGAGGGUGAUCGGCCACACUGGAACUGAGACACGGUCCAGACUCCUAGGGGAGGCAGCAGUAGGGAAUCUUGCGAAAUGGGCGGAAGCCUGACGGAGCAACGCCGCGUGAGUGAUGAAGGUCUUCGGAUCGUAAAACUCUGUUAUUAGGGAAGACCAUAUGUGUAAGUAGCUGUGCACAUCUUGACGGUACCUAAUCAGAAAGCCACGGCUAACUACGUG
RNAcentral lists this ribosomal RNA (497 nucleotides) under uncultured bacterium. Its description in RNAcentral is "partial 16S ribosomal RNA". It matches the Rfam family "Bacterial small subunit ribosomal RNA", at positions 28 to 507 of the family's 1533-position model. The record is from RNAcentral.